Molecule: ribosomal RNA, 720 nt
Filed under: uncultured Verrucomicrobiota bacterium
Lineage: Bacteria; Pseudomonadati; Verrucomicrobiota
Description: bacterial SSU rRNA
Rfam family: Bacterial small subunit ribosomal RNA
Source: RNAcentral
GGCGAAGGCGGCUUUCUGGACAGAAACUGACGCUGAGGCGCGAAAGCUAGGGGAGCAAACAGGAUUAGAUACCCUGGUAGUCCUAGCCCUAAACGGUGUGCGCUUGCUGUAAGAGGAAUCGACCCCUCUUGUGGCGAAGCUAACGCGAUAAGCGCACCGCCUGGGGAGUACGGUCGCAAGAUUAAAACUCAAAGAAAUUGACGGGGGCCUGCACAAGCGGUGGAGUAUGUGGCUUAAUUCGAUGCAACGCGAAGAACCUUACCUGGCCUUGACAUGCAAGUGGUAGAACCAUGAAAGUGGGACGAUCCCGCAAGGGAAGCUUGCACAGGUGCUGCAUGGCUGUCGUCAGCUCGUGUCGUGAGAUGUUGGGUUAAGUCCCGCAACGAGCGCAACCCUUGUGUCCUGUUGCCACUUCCUCGAGAGAGGAAAGCACUCUGGACAGACUGCCUCGCUUAAACGGGGAGGAAGGUGGGGAUGACGUCAAGUCAGUAUGGCCCUUACGGCCAGGGCUGCACACGUACUACAAUGCCUUACACAAAGGGAAGCAAGACCGUCAGGUGGAGCAAAUCCCAGAAAAUAAGGCCCAGUUCAGAUUGUCGUCUGCAACUCGACGGCAUGAAGUUGGAAUCGCUAGUAAUGGCGCAUCAGCUACGGCGCCGUGAAUACGUUCCCAGGCCUUGUACACACCGCCCGUCACAUCAUGAAAGCCGGUUGUACCCG